Molecule: ribosomal RNA, 424 nt
Filed under: uncultured Flavobacterium sp.
Lineage: Bacteria; Pseudomonadati; Bacteroidota; Flavobacteriia; Flavobacteriales; Flavobacteriaceae
Description: bacterial SSU rRNA
Rfam family: Bacterial small subunit ribosomal RNA
Source: RNAcentral
UGAGGAAUAUUGGUCAAUGGGCGCAAGCCUGAACCAGCCAUGCCGCGUGCAGGAUGACGGUCCUAUGGAUUGUAAACUGCUUUUGUACAGGAAGAAACACUCCCUCGUGAGGGAGCUUGACGGUACUGUAAGAAUAAGGAUCGGCUAACUCCGUGCCAGCAGCCGCGGUAAUACGGAGGAUCCAAGCGUUAUCCGGAAUCAUUGGGUUUAAAGGGUCCGUAGGCGGUUUUAUAAGUCAGUGGUGAAAUCUGGUCGCUCAACGAUCAAACGGCCAUUGAUACUGUAAGACUUGAAUUACUUGGAAGUAACUAGAAUAUGUAGUGUAGCGGUGAAAUGCUUAGAGAUUACAUGGAAUACCAAUUGCGAAGGCAGGUUACUACAAGUGGAUUGACGCUGAUGGACGAAAGCGUGGGGAGCGAACAGG